RNAcentral lists this ribosomal RNA (428 nucleotides) under uncultured organism. Its description in RNAcentral is "bacterial SSU rRNA". It matches the Rfam family "Bacterial small subunit ribosomal RNA", at positions 355 to 775 of the family's 1533-position model. The record is from RNAcentral.
UGGGGAAUAUUGGACAAUGGGCGAAAGCCUGAUCCAGCCAUGCCGCGUGUGUGAAGAAGGCCCUCGGGUUGUAAAGCACUUUCAGUGGGGAAGAAAGCCUCGGGAUUAAUACUUCCGAGGAAGGACAUCACCCACAGAAGAAGCACCGGCUAACUCCGUGCCAGCAGCCGCGGUAAUACGGAGGGUGCGAGCGUUAAUCGGAAUUACUGGGCGUAAAGCGCGCGUAGGCGGUCUGAUCAGCCGGUUGUGAAAGCCCCGGGCUCAACCUGGGAACGGCAUCCGGAACUGUCAGGCUAGAGUGCAGGAGAGGAAGGUAGAAUUCCCGGUGUAGCGGUGAAAUGCGUAGAGAUCGGGAGGAAUACCAGUGGCGAAGGCGGCCUUCUGGACUGACACUGACGCUGAGGUGCGAAAGCGUGGGUAGCAAACAG